This is a long non-coding RNA of Neltuma alba, 458 nucleotides long. RefSeq lists it as uncharacterized. The record is from RefSeq and is a predicted model, not a curated record. NCBI's taxonomy places the organism in Eukaryota, Viridiplantae, Streptophyta, Magnoliopsida, Fabales, Fabaceae. The transcript has 2 exons.
AGCCCUAACCUCUAGUCCUCUACAUUCGAGAUUCAACGACGAUUGCCCUCUUCCUGGUGACCUGAGACAAAACUUGAGCUCUUAAGGCUGGAGGUCUCUCGGUGAGUUUGCGGUGGGGGAGGAGAAUUAUACACCAUGGCAAGCUGGGUAGGUGAGAGGAGGACGUGGCCUUGCUGAAAUCAUUCAUUACACGAGGCAUAAUGGCUAACAAUGUGAUUUUGAUAUGGAAAGCUUUUGAGAAUUGAAGGGGAUGAUGACUUUAGUUUGACUUCGAUGAGUUUGGUGCUGACUAGCUAGUUUGUUGGCACAGUUUGCUAUAACAGGCGGUUACUAUUUAGUAUAUGUAACUUGCUGUCCAGAAAUGUUUUAUGUAAUGUUGCAAUUGAAUGUUGUUAAUUUGGUAUUGUAACAUGACAGUUGAUUGUUUCAAUGGAAUGCCUUUGAUUUGGUGUUUUGAU